AGCACCUACGGGAGGCAGCAGUGGGGAAUAUUGCACAAUGGGGGAAACCCUGAUGCAGCGACGCCGCGUGAGUGAAGAAGUAUCUCGGUACGUAAAGCUCUAUCAGCAGGGAAGAAAAAAAGUCUUUGGCUUUGGACGGUACCUGACUAAGAAGCCCCGGCUAACUACGUGCCAGCAGCCGCGGUAAUACGGAGGAUGCGAGCGUUAUCCGGAUUUAUUGGGUUUAAAGGGUGCGUAGGCGGUCCGGAAAGUCAGCGGUAAAAGCCCGGGGCUCAACCCCGGCGAGCCGUUGAAACUGUCGGACU
RNAcentral lists this ribosomal RNA (305 nucleotides) under uncultured bacterium. Its description in RNAcentral is "bacterial SSU rRNA". It matches the Rfam family "Bacterial small subunit ribosomal RNA", at positions 334 to 642 of the family's 1533-position model. The record is from RNAcentral.